UAGGUAAUCUUCGGCAAUGGACGAAAGUCUGACCGAGCAACGCCGCGUGAGUGAAGAAGGUUUUCGGCUCGUAAAACUCUGUUGUUAGAGAAGAACAAGGACUCUAGUAACUGAACGUCCCCUGACGGUAUCUAACCAGAAAGCCACGGCUAACUACGUUUCAGCAUCCGCGGUAAUACGUAGGUGGCAAGCGUUGUACGGAUUUAUUGGGCGUAAAGCGAGCGCAGGCGGUUUCUUAAGUCUGAUGUGAAAGCCCCCGGCUCACCCGGGGAGGGUCAUUGGAAACUGGGAGACUUGAGUGCAGAAGAGGAGAGUGGAAAUCCAUGUGUAGCGGUGAAAUGCGUAGAUAUAUUGAGGAAAACAAGUGGCGAAGACGGCUCUCUGCUCUGUAACUAAAGCUGAGGCUCGAAAGCGUGGGGAGCAAACAGG
Molecule: ribosomal RNA, 429 nt
Filed under: Chloroflexota bacterium
Lineage: Bacteria; Bacillati; Chloroflexota
Description: Chloroflexi bacterium partial 16S ribosomal RNA
Rfam family: Bacterial small subunit ribosomal RNA
Source: RNAcentral